AGCCUGUCCGGUGGCAGCGGAUGUGAGGGAUGAUGCAGGCAGACAGGAAGCCCUCAGAGGCCACCCGCCUGCCAGUGUGUUCUGCCGGCCUCAUUGCACACUCAGGAUGGGGGGCCCUCAAUGAAGAUCCCGACUGGCAGGGAGUUGGCGGACAUGCAGCUGGAGGCGGGGCUGCUGUGGCCCGGGGUAGCCCUGCUACUGCUGCUGCUUCUGGGGGCGGCAGCCGGCUUAUGUGUGAGCUGCUCCCGCCCAGGUGUGAAGAGCUCAGAGAAGAUCUACGAGCAGAGGAGUCUAUGCCCCAGCCCCAGCCCGUCUGUCUCCCUGUCCCUCUGUCUCGGGACAAUGGCAAGCUGGGUCACUGUGAGUUGUGUGUCCAGACAGGAGACCCAGCAGAGCUUCGCCGUGGCCCGGACCUACUCCCUGGCCAGGCAGGUCUGUCUGGGGACCCUGGGGGACAAGGCGUGUGAUGUGGAGGCAGCAAGGACGGACAAGUUGCGUUGCUUCUCCUCCAGCCAAGAGGACUCAGAGGCCCCCAGGUACCAGAACUUCAGCAAAGGAAGCAGACUCGGGUCUGAGGCCGCCUAUGUAGACCCCAUCGCCUCAGAGUAUUACAACUGGGGAUGCUUCCACAAGCCCCUUGAAGGUGAUGAGGAUGCCAACUCCUAUGAGAACGUGCUCAUCUGCAGCCAGAGCCCUGAGUCAGGUGACGAUGACUACCAGAACGCCCUCUCGGUCCAGCAGUGGCAUGAGUCCAGGAGGGUCUCGGGUGGGUUUCAGGCUCAGGGGGGGGUCACUUUGGGGGUCAGCGUGUCACCUCCCCAAGUCACCUCUCCCCCCCACCUCUGUAGAGCAAAUCCACAGAGUGACGCCUCCCUCCCCGGAUGAGGAUGGGGACCCAGAUUAUGUGAACGGGGAUAUGAAUAUGGGACAGGCCUAGGGAGGCCGAGACCAAGGAGCCGCCUCCCCCAGCUUGUAGCAUCUGUGCCCAAUGGAGGGGCCGGUGAUGAGGCUGGGCUCAGCGUAGGUGGCACUCCUGUGCCUGUGAAGUUCAUCAAGAGACACCGUCCCUGUCCCCCUGCUCCGCCUCCUCCCCCUCCUGCAAGGUACCGGCCUCACACGCACUCCCCGAAGCCGCCUCCAGGGGGCGCCCGCGAACGCAGCUUCCGAACUCGGGAACUGAGUAUCCUGACCUUUGGUGGAACCGAGUACUGUGCAGUGCGCCCCGGUGUGAGGGUGCAGGAAACGCAUCCUGUCGGCCCUGACACCCCACUCCCCGCCCACCUUCUUCGCGACAUGAGUCUCCAGGUCCCAGCCUGGGACAGAAUGAGGCCUCCCUUCUGACAGCAGCCGGGGCGGCUUCACCAAGAAGCAUCUCUGGACAGGAAGGUCACGCCUCCAGUGACAAGGGACAGUGGGGCUGGAGGGAGGGAUGGCCAGGGACCAGGCCUGUUCCUCCCAAGUGCUAGUCUUUCUGGGAUUGCUGGGUUUCUUCCCAGGAGGAUUUCAUACCAGCAGAGAAAUCAGAAAA
RNA transcript from Erinaceus europaeus (western European hedgehog), 1528 nucleotides. It is a transcript of the gene named linker for activation of T cells family member 2, with no coding region annotated. Lineage: Eukaryota; Metazoa; Chordata; Mammalia; Eulipotyphla; Erinaceidae. The record is from RefSeq and is a predicted model, not a curated record. The transcript is spliced from 12 exons.